This 527-nucleotide ribosomal RNA is filed under the name uncultured Escherichia sp. Its description in RNAcentral is "bacterial SSU rRNA". It matches the Rfam family "Bacterial small subunit ribosomal RNA", at positions 8 to 524 of the family's 1533-position model. Lineage: Bacteria; Pseudomonadati; Pseudomonadota; Gammaproteobacteria; Enterobacterales; Enterobacteriaceae. The record is from RNAcentral.
AGAGUUUGAUCCUGGCUCAGAUUGAACGCUGGCGGCAGGCCUAACACAUGCAAGUCGAACGGUAACAGGAAGCAGCUUGCUGCUUCGCUGACGAGUGGCGGACGGGUGAGUAAUGUCUGGGAAACUGCCUGAUGGAGGGGGAUAACUACUGGAAACGGUAGCUAAUACCGCAUAACGUCGCAAGACCAAAGAGGGGGACCUUCGGGCCUCUUGCCAUCGGAUGUGCCCAGAUGGGAUUAGCUAGUAGGUGGGGUAACGGCUCACCUAGGCGACGAUCCCUAGCUGGUCUGAGAGGAUGACCAGCCACACUGGAACUGAGACACGGUCCAGACUCCUACGGGAGGCAGCAGUGGGGAAUAUUGCACAAUGGGCGCAAGCCUGAUGCAGCCAUGCCGCGUGUAUGAAGAAGGCCUUCGGGUUGUAAAGUACUUUCAGCGGGGAGGAAGGGAGUAAAGUUAAUACCUUUGCUCAUUGACGUUACCCGCAGAGGAAGCACCGGCUAACUCCGUGCCAGCAGCCGCGGUAAU